GAUGAACGCUGGCGGCGUGCCUAAUACAUGCAAGUCGAGCGAACAGACGAGGAGCUUGCUCCUCUGACGUUAGCGGCGGACGGGUGAGUAACACGUGGAUAACCUACCUAUAAGACUGGGAUAACUUCGGGAAACCGGAGCUAAUACCGGAUAAUAUAUUGAACCGCAUGGUUCAAUAGUGAAAGACGGUUUUGCUGUCACUUAUAGAUGGAUCCGCGCCGCAUUAGCUAGUUGGUAAGGUAACGGCUUACCAAGGCAACGAUGCGUAGCCGACCUGAGAGGGUGAUCGGCCACACUGGAACUGAGACACGGUCCAGACUCCUACGGGAGGCAGCAGUAGGGAAUCUUACGCAAUGGGCGAAAGCCUGACGGAGCAACGCCGCGUGAGUGAUGAAGGUCUUCGGAGCGUAAAACUCUGUUAUUAGGGAAGAACAAAUGUGUAAGUAACUAUGCACGUCUUGACGGUACCUAAUCAGAAAGCCACGGCUAACUACGUG
This 497-nucleotide ribosomal RNA is filed under the name uncultured bacterium. Its description in RNAcentral is "partial 16S ribosomal RNA". It matches the Rfam family "Bacterial small subunit ribosomal RNA", at positions 28 to 507 of the family's 1533-position model. The record is from RNAcentral.